Molecule: transfer RNA, 60 nt
Filed under: uncultured Geminigera
Lineage: Eukaryota; Cryptophyceae; Pyrenomonadales; Geminigeraceae
Source: RNAcentral
UAGCUCAGUUGAUCAGAGGGAGAGAUUCUUAAUCCUUAGGUCGUGGGUCUGAUUCCAUCA